This 449-nucleotide ribosomal RNA is filed under the name uncultured bacterium. Its description in RNAcentral is "partial 16S ribosomal RNA". It matches the Rfam family "Bacterial small subunit ribosomal RNA", at positions 29 to 523 of the family's 1533-position model. The record is from RNAcentral.
AGCGAACGCUGGCGGAAUGCUUAACACAUGCAAGUCGCACGCCCUGCAAGGGGAGUGGCGGACGGGUGAGUAACGCGUAGGAAUAUGUCCAGAGGUGGGGGACAACCCUGGGAAACUGGGGCUAAUACCGCAUACGGGCUGAGGCCCACAGCAGUGAUGCGCCUUUGGAGUAGCCUGCGUCCGAUUAGCUUGUUGGUGGGGUAAAGGCUUACCAAGGCGACGAUCGGUAGCUGGUCUGAGAGGACGACCAGCCACACUGGGACUGAGACACGGCCCAGACUCCUACGGGAGGCAGCAGUGGGGAAUAUUGGACAAUGGGCGCAAGCCUGAUCCAGCAAUUCCGCGUGGGUGAAGAAGGUCUUCGGAUUGUAAAGCCCUUUCGACGGGGACGAUGAUGACGGUACCCGUAGAAGAAGCCCCGGCUAACUUCGUGCCAGCCGCCGCGGUAA